CCUACGGGAGGCUGCAGUGGGGAAUAUUGGACAAUGGGGGGAACCCUGAUCCAGCCAUGCCGCGUGUGUGAAGAAGGCCCUCGGGUUGUAAGCACUUUCAGUGAGGAAGAACGCCUGGUGGUUAAUACCCAUCAGGAAAGACAUCACUCACAGAAGAAGCACCGGCUAACUCCGUGCCAGCAGCCGCGGUAAUACGGAGGGUGCGAGCGUUAAUCGGAAUUACUGGGCGUAAAGCGCGCGUAGGUGGCUUGAUAAGCCGGUUGUGAAAGCCCCGGGCUCAACCUGGGAACGGCAUCCGGAACUGUCAAGCUAGAGUGCAGGAGAGGAAGGUAGAAUUCCCGGUGUAGCGGUGAAAUGCGUAGAGAUCGGGAGGAAUACCAGUGGCGAAGGCGGCCUUCUGGACUGACACUGACACUGAGGUGCGAAAGCGUGGGUAGCAAACAGGAUUAGAUACCCCAGUAGUC
RNAcentral lists this ribosomal RNA (464 nucleotides) under Vreelandella stevensii. Its description in RNAcentral is "partial 16S ribosomal RNA". It matches the Rfam family "Bacterial small subunit ribosomal RNA", at positions 338 to 795 of the family's 1533-position model. Lineage: Bacteria; Pseudomonadati; Pseudomonadota; Gammaproteobacteria; Oceanospirillales; Halomonadaceae. The record is from RNAcentral.